GCUUUACCCUGGUGCUGCCAGGUUGUGCCCCUCUGUGCCUCAUGCAAAGGAGGCCAUGUUGCAUCAAGCGCAAGGAGGGAGCCAGCAGCCAUAAACACUCAUGCUUGAAGAGAUCGUAAUGAUUCUGACAACACAAGCACAGACUGUAAACUGGAACAAGAUGCCAAACUCAGCUCAUGCCAGUUACUCACACCCAUGUCUUGGCUUGAAGAGAGGUUCAGUGAGGGGGAAAGGAAGGAACUACAUUCAAAUUCAGAUUUGCCAGAAGGAAGAUGGCUUGGAGAGAGAACAUGUUCCUUUGACAAGGCAUAAACAGAUGGACAGAAACCAGUCAUUAAUCACUUUGGAAAAGACAUGCUUACACCUGUCUUUGAAUGCCAGCAGAUGACAGACUGUGUAGGUCGUUUCCAGCGUGCUGUAGUAGGGGAUAUGGACAGUGUGUCUGAAACACACACUUUUUUACAAAAACAAACAGAAAUCUUCAAUAUUAUUUUAAAAGGGUGAAUUUCAAUGAAUUAGCAAAGUUUUACAAUAAACACUUGAAUGGCAGCAUGCAUGUGUUAGAUAAAUUUAGGGGACCCCCUAAGAUUGUCUAAACCUGCGAGUGAUAAACAAAACUUCAAAUCUCUGAAGCUCAUGCUGGAAGCGAACAAAGCCUUGCAUCAACCUUUCUGCCACAAAAAAACUGGGAGAUGAAAUAUCUUAUUUUAUUUAUAUUCCUAUUACUGAGACUUACAUGACCCAUGUGAGGGCAUUUGCUUGGCAACCACACAAGGCCAGCUGUUAAAAAUGGAGCAGAACCUCCCUGGCAGAGAACACAAUGUCCCGGGGAGUUCAGGGGGACAUGCGCGGUCUGGUUACUGUCCAGCCACCUCUGAUUAUGUCUCCACUCACACUUCUCCCUGCUCUAGAUACACUUUCCCUUAGUAACGUCAGGGGCUGAAAUGUUUUUGCAGCAGUUAUGAAACUCAAGCGCUCUGAUCUGAAGUAUGAGUGGAGUCCUUUCUCUUUCAUCUCUCGUGCUCUCGUGGCCUAUGACUACAGUGUUGAAGUGAAAUAUGAAGGGUUACUUGCUUUGUACUUUAAUCAUUCAAUAAAACCCUGUCAGACAAUA
Molecule: long non-coding RNA, 1114 nt
Organism: Xiphophorus hellerii (green swordtail)
Lineage: Eukaryota; Metazoa; Chordata; Actinopteri; Cyprinodontiformes; Poeciliidae
Exons: 3
Source: RefSeq, a predicted model, not a curated record